RNAcentral lists this ribosomal RNA (497 nucleotides) under uncultured bacterium. Its description in RNAcentral is "partial 16S ribosomal RNA". It matches the Rfam family "Bacterial small subunit ribosomal RNA", at positions 28 to 507 of the family's 1533-position model. The record is from RNAcentral.
GAUGAACGCUGGCGGCGUGCCUAAUACAUGCAAGUCGAGCGAACAGACGAGGAGCUUGCUCCUCUGACGUUAGCGGCGGACGGGUGAGUAACACGUGGAUAACCUACCUAUAAGACUGGGAUAACUUAGGGAAACCGGAGCUAAUACCGGAUAAUAUAUUGAACCGCAUGGUUCAAUAGUGAAAGACGGUUUUGCUGUCACUUAUAGAUGGAUCCGCGCCGCAUUAGCUAGUUGGUAAGGUAACGGCUUACCAAGGCAACGAUGCGUAGCCGACCUGAGAGGGUGAUCGGCCACACUGGAACUGAGACACGGUCCAGACUCCUACGGGAGGCAGCAGUAGGGAAUCUUCCGCAAUGGGCGAAAGCCUGACGGAGCAACGCCGCGUGAGUGAUGAAGGUCUUCGGAUCGUAAAACUCUGUUAUUAGGGAAGAUCAAAUGUGUAAGUAACUAUGCACGUCUUGACGGUACCUAAUCAGAAAGCCACGGCUAACUACGUG